Molecule: ribosomal RNA, 273 nt
Filed under: Hyalomma dromedarii
Lineage: Eukaryota; Metazoa; Arthropoda; Arachnida; Ixodida; Ixodidae
Description: partial large subunit ribosomal RNA
Source: RNAcentral
UAUUUUAACUAUACAAAGGUAUUGUAAUAAGAUUUUAAUUGAAUGCUAAAAGAAUGGAAGUUUAAGAAAAAACUUUUUUAAAAAUAAAAAUUAAAUUUUUUUUAAUUUGUGCAAAACCAAUUAUUUAUAUUAAAGACAAGAAGACCCUAUGAAUUUAUGAUUAAAUAAACUAAAAAUUUUUAGUUUAUUUAAUCUUGAUUGGGGCAAUCAAAAAAUAUUAAUAACUUUUUUAAAUUUAAAUGAUCUAUUAUUAAUAAUCUAAUGGAAUAAAUA